RNAcentral lists this ribosomal RNA (99 nucleotides) under Parasola sp. 'neoplicatilis'. RNAcentral's name for it is "partial 28S ribosomal RNA". The stretch from base 43 to 99 matches the Rfam family "Eukaryotic large subunit ribosomal RNA", at positions 1 to 57 of the family's 3401-position model. The record is from RNAcentral. Lineage: Eukaryota; Fungi; Basidiomycota; Agaricomycetes; Agaricales; Psathyrellaceae.
GACCGGCUUCUAACUGUCCGCAAGGACAAAUUUGACCAAUAUUGACCUCAAAUCAGGUAGGACUACCCGCUGAACUUAAGCAUAUCAAUAAGCGGAGGA